Molecule: ribosomal RNA, 714 nt
Filed under: Australophlebotomus notteghemae
Lineage: Eukaryota; Metazoa; Arthropoda; Insecta; Diptera; Psychodidae
Description: eukaryotic LSU rRNA
Rfam family: Eukaryotic large subunit ribosomal RNA
Source: RNAcentral
GUCCUAAGCUCUAAGCGAAAGCUAACAUAUAAAAAUACACAUAAAUAAUAUUUUUGUUGUAUUUUUUUGAAGGGAAAGGGAAAACGGUUCCAAUUCCGAAACCAAUGGAGAAAACGUUAAUGGGGGGCCCAAUAAAUUAUAAAGCAAUUUAUAUUUUAUAGGUUUAAAGCUCAUCCUGGUAACAGAAGCUACCAUAGAGAAGCCGUCGAAGCAUACCGAAAGAGUUAUCUUUUCUGUUUCAUAACUGUAUUACCAUGGAAAUCUUUCAAAGAGAGAUAUGGUAAAUGAGUUAGAAGAGCAUGGCGUUUAUUGCUGUGUCGGGUAUGUCAUUCCUCGGACCUUGAAAAUCUAUGGUAGGGCCACGUAAACAUUCUCAAUAGACCGUACCAAUAUCCGCAGCAGGUCUCCAAGGUUAAGAGUCUCUAGUCGAUAGAAUAAUGUAGGUAAGGGAAGUCGGCAAAUUAGAUCCGUAACUUCGGGAUAAGGAUUGGCUCUGAAGAUUGAGAUGUGUCGGGCUUGUUUGGGAAGUAUGAGUAAAUGUGUUGGCUAAAGUAUCUGAUUAGUUGUCUCUUAACGGGGACGGUGAAAAGAUAUGAUUAAGUCAACACGAAGUACGGAACACUCAAGCUAUGCUAUAUACAUCAAAAGAAAAAUUUACUUAACAGUUGUUUUUCUGUAUAUAGAUUAACAACGACCAUCAACAAACAACCACUC